Small nucleolar RNA from Jaculus jaculus (lesser Egyptian jerboa), 131 nucleotides. NCBI's taxonomy places the organism in Eukaryota, Metazoa, Chordata, Mammalia, Rodentia, Dipodidae. The record is from Ensembl.
CUCUCCUUCAAAGGCAUGCUUUUUGUCUCCUAUCCUUGAACAGGUAAGAAUUGGAGGCAAAGAAAUGUGGAUUUGGAGAAAUCUGGGGCUAGUGUGUGCCUUGCAGGCUCAAGAUCAACCAUCACACAUAC